GAUGAACGUUGGCGGCGUGCCUAAUACAUGCAAGUCGAACGAAGACUGUAGUAAUACUGUCUUAGUGGCGAACGGGUGAGUAACGCGUGGGUGACCUGCCCCGAAGUGUGGGAUAACAGUCCGAAAGGAUUGCUAAUACUGCAUAAUAUCCAAGAGAUUAGAUGCUUUUGGAUUAAAGGAGUAAUUCGCUUCGGGAGGGGCCCGCGUCCCAUCAGCUAGUUGGUAAGGUAAUGGCUUACCAAGGCGAUGACGGGUAGGGGACCUGAGAGGGUGGCCCCCGACAAAGUGGAACUGAAACACGGUCCAUACACCUACGGGUGGCAGCAGUAGGGAAUAUUAGUAAUGGGCGAAAGCCUGAACUAGCAACGCCGCGUGUGCGAAGAAGGCCUUCGGGUCGUAAAGCACUUUUUGAGAGGAUGAGGAAGGACGGUACUCUCAGAAUAAGUCUCGGCUAACUACGUG
RNAcentral lists this ribosomal RNA (462 nucleotides) under uncultured bacterium. RNAcentral's name for it is "bacterial SSU rRNA". It matches the Rfam family "Bacterial small subunit ribosomal RNA", at positions 28 to 507 of the family's 1533-position model. The record is from RNAcentral.